GAUGAACGCUGGCGGCGUGCCUAAUACAUGCAAGUCGAGCGAACAGACGAGGAGCUUGUGCCUCUGACGUUAGCGGCGGACGGGUGAGUCACACGUGGAUCAUCUACCUAUCAGACGGGGAAAACUUCGGGAAACCGGCGAUAAUACCGGAUAAUAUACUGAACCGCAUGGUUCGAUAGUGAAAGUCGGCUUUGGUGGAACGUCUCGCUGGAUACGCGCCGCAUUAGCUAGUUGGUAAGGUAAAGGGUUACGAAGGCAACGAUGCGUAGCCGAGUUGAGGGGGGGGUCGGCCACACUGGAACUUGGACACGGACCAGACGCCUGCGAGACGCAGCAGUAGGCAAUCUUCCGCAAUAGUCGAGAACUUUGCAGAACGACGGCACGUGAGUGAUGAAAGUCUUCGGAUCGUGAAACUCUGUUAUGGGUGAAAAACAAAUUUGUAAGGAACUAUACCCUGAGUGACGGUACCGAAUCAGAAAGCCACGGCUAACUACGUG
RNAcentral lists this ribosomal RNA (497 nucleotides) under uncultured bacterium. RNAcentral describes it as "partial 16S ribosomal RNA". It matches the Rfam family "Bacterial small subunit ribosomal RNA", at positions 28 to 507 of the family's 1533-position model. The record is from RNAcentral.